CGCAGCUUAGGUGUGUCAUGGGAUAUAGGAACUGACGAGAUAACAUUUCAAAUAUCCCCAGAUGUGAAACCAUUCACUCGACGUGGAGCACUUUCCACUAUUAAUAGCAUUUACGACCCGGUUGGCUUUGCAGCCCCUGUGAUAAUUCGUGGAAAGUUGUUACUACGAGAGAUGAUAGGAUCUAGUGUAGUUAACUGGGACGACAUUCUGUCAGAUUCGUAUCUGGAACAGUGGGAAGCAUGGGUAACUUCACUCAAAGGUCUUGAAACUUUGCGAAUACCUCGUAUGUAUACCACAGUGUCAUUUGCCACAGCAACUUUGCGUGAGAUACAUAUUUUUUCUGAUGCCUCAAAAGAAGCAAUUGGUGCAGUAGCGUACCUAAAACUUAGUGAUGGGAAUUCUACUGAGAUAAGUUUUGUAAUGGGCAAAGCAAAGGUUGCACCAUCCACAGGGCACACUAUACCCCGUUUAGAAUUGUGCGGCGCUGUACUUGCAGUAGAAAUGACUGACAUCAUCAAAGAACACCUGAAAAUAGAAACUGAAAACAUGUAUUUUUAUACGGAUAGUCAAGUUGUCCUUGGCUAUAUCAACAACAAAAGUCGUCGGUUUUACGUCUAUGUCUGUAAUAGGAUAAGUAGAAUCCGUGCAUCAAGCGACCCAGGACAGUGGCGUUAUGUGUCUAGUGAAAUGAAUCCAGCUGAUAUCGCAACAAGAAGCGUACAGGCAGCAACUCUUCGGAAUACUACAUGGUUUCGCGGACCAUCAUUUCUUCUACAAGAAAUUGACCUUACUUCGAAAACAGAUCAUAAUUUAGUUGAUCCUGAAUUGGAUCGAGAGGUCAGACCUGAAAUAAAAACUCUCAAAACUACGUCUGUAGAAAGUAAGCCAUUAGAAUCAGUCUCUUCACGAUUUGACAGAUACUCUGAGUGGAGAAAACUCGUGUCAGCGAUCAAUUGUCUUAGAAGCAAAAUUAAACAUUACAAAUCAGUAAAGACAUUAAAGUCUAAUACCAUGAAUGUUGUAGAACAACUACUGGAAACCGAACGUUUCAUUGUCAAGGAAGUUCAAAAAGAAGGAUUUCAAGAGGAUAUAGAUCCUUUGAUGGGAUGCAACAAACGUCUCCCAAGAAAUAGUUCACUUCUACCCUUAAACCCGUUUCUUGAUUCAAAUGGACUUCUUAGAGUAGGAGGACGUAUCAAACAUAGCGAGCUAAGUGACUCAUGUAAACAACCUAUUAUUAUUCCAAAAGGACAUCAUAUUGCAAUUCUACUCAUAUGCCACUAUCAUGUAAGGGUUGCGCAUCAAGGUAGAUCGUUUACAGAAGCAGCGAUUAGAAAUGCAGGCUAUUGGAUUGUUGGUGUUAAACGUCUUAUAAAUUCAGUCAUACGGAAGUGUGUGCAGUGUAAGAAAUUACGAGGAAAACUUUGUACUCAGCAGAUGGCUGAUUUGCCGAAAGACAGGUUAACUCCAAGUCCCCCCUUUUCGUAUGUAGGGGUUGAUGCAUUUGGCCCAUGGCCAGUUACGUUUCGUCGUACACGAGGUGGUGUAUCCCAAUCAAAACGUUGGGCUCUGUUAUUUGCUUGUCUGGUUACUAGAGCUAUUCAUCUGGAAGUUAUUGAGGAACUGAGCAGCUCUUCGUUCAUAAAUGCUUGGCGUCGAUUCAUCGCACUUAGAGGACCAGUUCGACAAGUGAGAUCCGAUAGAGGUACAAACUUUGUGGGGGCAACUCAGGAUCUUUCGAUGAUUGCUCAAUUUGUUGAAGACCGUAAUGUUCAGAACUUUUUAAACGACAAUCGAAUUACAUGGCAGUUUAACCCGCCCCAUGCCUCUCAUUUCGGUGGAGCAUGGGAACGACUUAUCGGAGUGUCUAGGAGAAUAUUGGACUCAUUGCUGUUAGAAAACCGUUUCAAAGACUUGACUCAUGAGAUGUUGACCACCUUUUUAGCAGAAGUUACUGCAAUUGUCAACAACCGACCAUUGACAUGUGUAUCGUAUGACUCUGAGUCACCAAGUGUCAUCACUCCGUCUCUUCUGCUCACUCAAAAAACAGCAGACGACACUUGUCCAUUUCCCGAUUUUGAGAAAAAAGACUCUAUAAGACAUCAUUGGAAGUAUGUGCAAUUUCUCGCUCAACAAUUCUGGGCAAAGUGGCGACAGGAAUAUUUACAUUCAUUGCAAGUACGACCUAAAUGGCAAACGGAAGAACAAAAUGUUAAAGUUGGAACAGUAGUACUCAUGAAAGACAAUAAUUGUGCAAGAAAUUACUGGCCAACUGGUAUAGUUGAAAGAGUUUUCCCCAGUGAGGAUGGAAAAAUUCGUAAAGUUGAACUUAGAAUCAUUCGUGAUGGUCAACCAGUGACUUAUGUGAGACCAAUAUCUCAAAUCGUUUUGCUUGUUGAGCCUGAAUAA
This 2409-nucleotide small RNA is filed under the name Mytilus galloprovincialis (Mediterranean mussel). The record is from RNAcentral. Lineage: Eukaryota; Metazoa; Mollusca; Bivalvia; Mytilida; Mytilidae.